AAAAUGUUCAUAGUGCCUCGGUUUGUUCUAAGGUAAAAAUUGCUAUAUCGUUCUAUCUGUCACAAGCUUGUCAACAAGAAAGUACCUCGAAAGAACAGGAACAAAACGAAAAAUUAAAUGUGAUAUGAGCUUUUAGAUAAACUAUGAACACUAAUUACACUCGAAAAUAUCUGCCUAUGAGAGUCUUGAUUGAAGGCAGAGGAGAAGGGGACGACAGAGGCUAAGAUGGUUGGAUGGCAUCACUGAUUCGAUGGACAUGAGUUUGAGCAAGCCCCUGGAGUUGGUGAUGGACACGGAAGCCCAGCGUCCUGCAGGCCACGGGGUCCCAAAGAGUCAGACACGACUGAGCCACUGAACUGAACUGAACAUACAAUCGUUUCUCCAGGUGUUUUGGUUACCCGAGUUUCUAUCCUGUGCUAAACUAAGUGACGACAGUGUACUGAAGAGCUGGGUCAUUUCCAAAUAAAUUAAAGUUCUGAAACAUUCACGCCUUGAAAGGACCUCCCUUUUACACAGAAACAAAAGAGAUUUUUGACUAUCCAAUAAGAGUGUCUGGCACCAUCCUGACAUGUGAAACGUAAGAAAGCAAUUUUUUUUUGUUUUGUUUGGUUCUGAUCUUGGGUGUGUGUGUGUGUGUGUGUGUGUGUGUGUGUGCGUGCGUGCGGGGGAGGGGAGGGGCGCUACUAUCACUGAUAGGUAUGUUCACCAAUCUGUCGAAUGCCAAUAUAAAAGUCAGUUCUUGGUUGCUGAAGGGAAAUGUAUGACUUGGUAUUAAAAGAAGGUAUGUGGCAUGAAAUCGCAUUUUCUGAAGGAAAACGACGUCGUUCUUUCUUCCAGGUGGCAGUUUUCAGGAUGGGAGAAGCAAAGGAAUGGGUACCGAAUGGGAUCAGGAGGUUGUAGGGAAAGUGGACCCCCAGAAAAGAGUGUUGUGCCUAGCACAAGGUUUCUUGAGAGGUUGAACUGCCUUUGCUAAUGGAUUUUAAGUUUCUUUACCUCUUCCGUGAUCUCUUCUAGGUUGACCUAGAAGAGAAAUCUUUUGUUAGCUUUGGCUAAGUGGAGAAGUAUUGCUUCACGGUGACUUGUGUGAUCCUACCUGACUGUUCUAAACCCUUUUGAUAUCUAUGCACU
This 1128-nucleotide long non-coding RNA is filed under the name Bos indicus x Bos taurus (hybrid cattle). RNAcentral's name for it is "lncRNA (ENSBIXG00000009953.1)". Lineage: Eukaryota; Metazoa; Chordata; Mammalia; Artiodactyla; Bovidae. The record is from RNAcentral.